Mycena galopus ATCC 62051 is the source of this 84-nucleotide non-coding RNA. The record is from the annotation of a GenBank genome assembly. Lineage: Eukaryota; Fungi; Basidiomycota; Agaricomycetes; Agaricales; Mycenaceae.
GCUUCGGUGGCGGAGUGGUUCCGCAUCUACGGUUGAUCGUUUGUGCUCUUGUAGACGUCGUGUGUUCGAUUCACACCUGAAGCA